AUUGAACGCUGGCGGCAGGCUUAACACAUGCAAGUCGAGCGGUAGCACAGGGGAGCUUGCUCCCUGGGUGACGAGCGGCGGACGGGUGAGUAAUGUCUGGGAAACUGCCUGAUGGAGGGGGAUAACUACUGGAAACGGUAGCUAAUACCGCAUAACGUCGCAAGACCAAAGAGGGGGACCUUCGGGCCUCUUGCCAUCAGAUGUGCCCAGAUGGGAUUAGCUAGUAGGUGGGGUAAUGGCUCACCUAGGCGACGAUCCCUAGCUGGUCUGAGAGGAUGACCAGCCACACUGGGACUGAGACACGGUCCAGACUCCUACGGGAGGCAGAAGUGGGGAAGAGUGCACAAUGGGCGCAAGCCUGAUGCAGCCAUGCCGCGUGUGUGAAGAAGGCCUUCGGGUUGUAAAGCACUUUCAGCGAGGAGGAAGGUGGUGAGCUUAAUACGUUCAUCAAUUGACGUUACUCGCAGAAGAAGCACCGGCUAACUCCGUG
Molecule: ribosomal RNA, 490 nt
Filed under: uncultured bacterium
Lineage: Bacteria
Description: partial 16S ribosomal RNA
Rfam family: Bacterial small subunit ribosomal RNA
Source: RNAcentral